CAGCGCCGCGGUAACACCGGCGGCUCGAGUGGUAACCGUUAUUAUUGGGUCUAAAGGGUCUGUAGCCGGCCGGAUAAGUCUCUUGGGAAAUCUGGCAGCUUAACUGUCAGGCUUUCAGGGGAUACUGUCUGGCUCGAGGCCGGGAGAGGUGAGAGGUACUUCAGGGGUAGGGGUGAAAUCUUGUAAUCCUUGAAGGACCACCAGUGGCGAAGGCGUCUCACCAGAACGGACUGACGGCAAGGGACGAAAGCUAGGGGCACGAACCGGAUUAGAUACCCGGGUAGUCCUAGCCGUAAACGAUACUCGCUAGGUGUCGGCCACGGUGCGACCGUUGUCGGUGCCGUAGGGAAGCCGUGAAGCGAGCCACCUGGGAAGUACGG
This 380-nucleotide ribosomal RNA is filed under the name uncultured archaeon. Its description in RNAcentral is "bacterial SSU rRNA". It matches the Rfam family "Archaeal small subunit ribosomal RNA", at positions 459 to 840 of the family's 1478-position model. The record is from RNAcentral.